RNAcentral lists this long non-coding RNA (333 nucleotides) under Pan troglodytes (chimpanzee). RNAcentral describes it as "long non-coding RNA NONPTRT014037". Lineage: Eukaryota; Metazoa; Chordata; Mammalia; Primates; Hominidae. The record is from RNAcentral.
AAGCCCAUUUCCGGAACACAAAGGGGUAAAAGAAAGCUAGAAGAAACAGAAAGAAGAUUAUCAGGAGACCUUUUCGUAUAGAAGACGGAAUAGACAAUGAGAAGCCCAUCCAAAUGGCAGGAGAGCUGAUGGGCAGAAUGGGGAGAACAUUAACCCCAAAAUAUGUCACUUUGGUAUUUGAGAAAAUAGCAGAAGCAGGAAGGUCUCUGACUGGUCCUUCUCCUCUGCCUGAAGUUGGUCAUAAAAUACUCAUAACAAAGGUAGCUUCCCUACACUAAGAGGAAAGAAACAUCCUUAUUUUCGAAGACUCAGAGAUGUCAAGAAGAAUCUGAA